AGCAGCCGCGGUAAUUCCAGCUCCAAUAGCGUAUAUUAAAGUUGUUGCAGUUAAGAAGCUCGUAGUUGAAUUUUGGGUCUGGCCGGACGGUCCGCCCUCCGGGUGAGCACUGUUCCGACGCCGGGCCUAUCCUUCUGGUGAGUCGGCAUGUCCUUUACUGGGUGUGUCGGGGAACCAGGACCAUUACCUUGAAAAAAUUAGAGUGUUCAAAGCAGGCGUAUGCUCGGAUACAUUAGCAUGGAAUAAUGAAAUAGGACGCGUGGUGCUAUUUUGUUGGUUUCUAGAACCGCCGUAAUGAUUAAUAGGGACAGUCGGGGGCAUCAGUAUUCAAUUGUCAGAGGUGAAAUUCUUGGAUUUAUUGAAGACUAACUACUGCGAAAGCAUUUGCCAAGGAUGUUUUCAUUAAUCAGUGAACGAAAGUUAGGGGAUCGAAGACGAUCAGAUACCGUCGUAGUCUUAACUAUAAACGUAUGCCGACUAGGGAUCGGGCGGUGUUAUUAUUUUGACUCGCUCGGCACCUUACGAGAAACCAAAGUGUUUGGGUU
This 545-nucleotide ribosomal RNA is filed under the name uncultured Glomeromycotina. RNAcentral's name for it is "SSU rRNA". It matches the Rfam family "Eukaryotic small subunit ribosomal RNA", at positions 569 to 1113 of the family's 1831-position model. The record is from RNAcentral. Lineage: Eukaryota; Fungi; Glomeromycota.